GAUGAACGCUGGCGGCGUGCUUAACACAUGCAAGUCGAACGAAGCACUUUAUUUGAUUUCCUUCGGGAUUGAUUAUUUUGUGACUGAGUGGCGGACGGGUGAGUAACGCGUGGGUAACCUGCCUUGUACAGGGGGAUAACAGUUGGAAACGGCUGCUAAUACCGCAUAAGCGCACAGUAUCGCAUGAUGCAGUGUGAAAAACUCCGGUGGUAUAAGAUGGACCCGCGUUGGAUUAGCUAGUUGGUGAGGUUACGGCCCACCAAGGCGACGAUCCAUAGCCGACCUGAGAGGGUGACCGGCCACAUUGGGACUGAGCCACGGCCCAAACUCCUACGGGAGGCAGCAGUGGGGAAUAUUGCACAAUGGGCGAAAGCCUGAUGCAGCGACGCCGCGUGAGUGAAGAAGUAUUUCGGUAUGUAAAGCUCUAUCAGCAGGGAAGAUAUUGACGGUACCUGACUAAGAAGCACCGGCUAAAUACGUGCCAGCAGCCGCCGUAA
Molecule: ribosomal RNA, 497 nt
Filed under: uncultured bacterium
Lineage: Bacteria
Description: partial 16S ribosomal RNA
Rfam family: Bacterial small subunit ribosomal RNA
Source: RNAcentral